Molecule: RNA transcript, 3479 nt
Organism: Phoenix dactylifera (date palm)
Lineage: Eukaryota; Viridiplantae; Streptophyta; Magnoliopsida; Arecales; Arecaceae
Gene name: putative triglyceride lipase
Source: RefSeq, a predicted model, not a curated record
GCCGUUACAAGUUCCCUCUCCUUAUCUCCUUUUCUUCCCUCGCUAUUAUCAAUCAAGAAGAGAGAGGACCACGUUGUAAAGAAGAAUGAUGGUCUCCGCGCUUCAGUAGAAGCUCCCAUCGAAGCCCCUCGCUAAUGGCUACUCUGAAGGGCUCCCACGUUCCUCCUCUCCGCUCCUUUCCCUUUCAUCCCUUCUCCUUGCCUACUUCUUCGAGACCCUCCGUUCGUAUCAAGAAACCCGUCUCUACGUGGGACGCGAGGGCUUUCUGCUUCGAAAUACCCAAGAAAGUUCGGGUUUUGAGGCCCCGCGGAAGAGCAAGCGGCGGCGGCGGCGGCCAAGCGGUCCUUCGUUCCGGCUCGGAGGAGGCGCAGCGGCCUCCUUUUGAUAUCAACCUUGCUGUCGUGCUCGCUGGGUUCGCCUUCGACUCCUAUACCAGCCCACCCAAAGAUGUUGGGUGGCGAGAAAUUGAUGCCGCUGAUUGUCAGACUGUGUUUUUGUCCAAGCAGUUCCUUCGUGAGGUAUAUGAUGGGCAGCUUUAUAUAAAGUUAAAGAAAGGUGAAGACUUUCCGGCAAUGGAUCCGUGGGGAACAAGUGAUCCAUAUGUUAUCUUGCAGAUAGAUGGUCAGGUCACAAAAAGCAAGGUCAAAUGGGGGACAAGGGAGCCAAUAUGGAAUGAGGAUUUCACUUUAAAUAUCAAGACAACUCCAGCAAAAACCUUACAGGUUGUGGCUUGGGAUGCAAACCUUGUCACUCCACACAAACGAAUGGGAAAUGCAGCAGUUAACCUAGAAUCACUAUGUGAUGGAAACUUGCAUGAGAUGGUGGUGGAAUUGGAGGGGAUUGGAGGUGGUGGAAAGAUAUACUUAGAGAUUAAAUAUAGGAGCUACGAUGAAAUUGAAGAAGACAAACAAUGGUGGAGAGUACCUUUUAUCUCGGAUUUUCUUACAAAAAGCAGUUUAGAGUCUGCUAUAAAAAUGGUCCUUGGAUCUGAGAGUGUAAAUGUUAGUCAGUUUGUACAAUUGGCGUUCGGACAGCUAAAACCAUUCAAUUAUGCUUAUCUUUGGAAACCUUCAUCAUCUGAUGGUGAUAAUGAUGGAUCUAAAUGUGCUGAAAGAUCUUUAGAUGCAGUUGCUGAUUCAAAGCAAGUUGUAUGGCAGUCAAGCAGUUCGGAAAGCUCAGGACAUAAUGCGAGUCCUGAGAAAGAGAAUAAUUUACCUGUUUCUCAUAAUGAUGCUAAUGUGACUAGUUCUUCGUUGAGAAGAAAAGCUGUUGAAACAGCAGCACCAGCUGAGUAUUUCUGGAAGGCUUUUGCUGACAUCAUCAACCAAACUGUUUGGCAGAAGCUUGGUUUUUCCAUUCCAGAGAUCAGAAUGUGGGAUGGAUUCGACUUGCUACAUAGGGGGAGCUUACAAUUGCGCAAAACUGCAGAAGAAGAAUAUGUUGAAUCCGGACUUGCAAGUCCUGAAACAGAGGAUGAGAAUGACAGAAAGAGGGAUCCCCCAUCUACUACAAAUGGAACUCCACUUUUGGACAUUAAGAAAGUAUCCUGGAAUGUUCUAAGUCAAACAGAGGCAAUAUUCAGGGCAAUGAUGGUUCUUACUGCAACCCUUCCGCAGGAGAAAAGGAAUUCAUCUUCAGGGGUUGAAGAAGAGGAUAAAGAAUAUUCCAUGAAUAAAGUAGGAGGUAUUGCUGUAGAUGGAUUUCCAGUAGAUACACAGAAAGCGGAGGAAAUGAGGGAACUGUUUUCCAGUGCAGAAAGUGCUAUGGAGGCUUGGGCUAUGCUUGCUACUUCAUUUGGCCGUAAAAGUUUUAUCAAAUCUGACUUUGAAAAGAUAUGUUUUCUUGAUAACUUUUCUACAGAUACGCAGGUAGCCAUUUGGCGUGACUCCUUGCGAAGAAGAUUGGUUAUUGCCUUCAGAGGUACUGAACAAGCAAAGUGGAAGGACUUGCGAACUGAUUUAAUGCUUGUUCCCGCUGGGCUAAACCCGGAGAGACUAGGGGGCGACUUUAAACAAGAAGUCCAGGUUCAUAGUGGAUUCCUAAAUGCAUAUGAUUCUGUUAGGAACAGAAUCAUCACGCUUAUUAAAGUUUCAAUAGGUUCCUCCUUAGGGGAUGAUUUGGAAAGCAUGCCUAAGUGGCAUGUGUAUGUUACAGGACACAGUUUAGGUGGUGCACUAGCUACCCUGCUUGCUCUUGAACUUUCAUCUAGUCAAAUGGCCAGGCAUGGCGUGAUUUCUGUUACUAUGUAUAACUUCGGUUCUCCUAGGGUUGGGAAUAGAAGAUUUGCUGAACUCUAUAAUGAGAAAGUCAAAGAUAGCUGGAGAGUUGUAAAUCACAGAGAUAUUAUUCCAACUGUCCCCCGUCUGAUGGGGUACUGCCAUGUUGCUCAACCUGUUUAUCUUGCAGCUGGAGACUUAGAAGAGACUCUGGUAAAUAAAAUAGACGGGUAUCAAGGUGAUGCCAUUGGAGAAUUCACACCUGAUAUUCUUGUCAGUGAGUUUAUGAAAGGGGAGAAGCAGCUUGUUGAAAAAAUUCUGCAGACUGAGAUAAAUCUGCUUAGUACAAUUAGAGAUGGAACUGCCCUUAUGCAGCAUAUGGAAGACUUCUAUUACAUCACACUCUUAGAGAGUGUAAGAGCAAAUUACCAGAGGACUGACAGUUCAAGUGAGGAAGGUUGCCAAUCUACCGUGUGAGCUAACCUAUCAUUGCUGCAAGCAUCAAAAUCCUCGCAUGUGCACGUUACUGUUUGAAUGACUGUUAAAGAGCGCUGCCUGCUUACAGUUUUAGCAAAAUAGAAUGAUGACCUUUGCAUUCCGGUCCCCUGAAAACAAGAGGCAGGGGUUUUUCCAUUGCCCGUUGGCGUUGGUAAGCUUAACAUCGGUAGGCUGCAGCCUUGAAUCUGUGAAAGUGGGUGAGCUUCAGUUACUUCCAACAGCUAGGUCUACUAUUUAUCAGCUAAACAGUACCUGAUGAUGUAGUCAGAAGAGGUCCAGAAGCAUAAUUAAAAUGCCACGGAUUUAAUUGGUUAUUGUCUCAAAGCAUCAUUUUGCAGCUGUCCUGACAAAUAGUGUCCCAACAUUCUUAUGCAGCGUACCUGAUCUGUUAUAAGCACAGAAUGGUAUUUCAUCCUGGUCGUGUCUGGCUAUCACAUUUGGAGUUCUGCUCUUGUGAUCAUAAACAACCAGCCAAUAUGAUUGCUGGUUAUGUAUCUACCAAUAUGAUCUGGUUUAACCAAUCAAACUUGCCAUUGCAGGCUGCAGAAAAUAGUUCUUAGUUGGGUAAGUGGAGCUGAAGAACAAAUAAAGUAGGAGACUAAGAACUGUAAUAAGACUAAUCGGUUGGUAGAUGGAUAUAAGUAUGUGUCGCAAUCUUUCAUUCUUUUUUAUUUUAUUUUACUUCUUUUGUAUUUCAUCGCUUUAGGAGCAUUCUUUGUUAUUAUUGAUUGGAAUGUGGAAGAGGAUACAUUGUUUACAGAAUCA